RNAcentral lists this ribosomal RNA (484 nucleotides) under uncultured bacterium. Its description in RNAcentral is "partial 16S ribosomal RNA". It matches the Rfam family "Bacterial small subunit ribosomal RNA", at positions 30 to 507 of the family's 1533-position model. The record is from RNAcentral.
AUUGAACGCUGGCGGCAUGCUUUACACAUGCAAGUCGAACGGCAGCACGGGCUUCGGCCUGGUGGCGAGUGGCGAACGGGUGAGUAAUAUAUCGGAACGUACCCAGAAGUGGGGGAUAACGUAGCGAAAGAUACGCUAAUACCGCAUAAGAUCUAUGGAUGAAAGCAGGGGACCGCAAGGCCUUGUGCUCCUGGAGCGGCCGAUAUCUGAUUAGCUAGUUGGUGAGGUAAAGGCUCACCAAGGCGACGAUCAGUAGCUGGUCUGAGAGGACGACCAGCCACACUGGAACUGAGACACGGUCCAGACUCCUACGGGAGGCAGCAGUGGGGAAUUUUGGACAAUGGGCGCAAGCCUGAUCCAGCAAUGCCGCGUGAGUGAAGAAGGCCUUCGGGUUGUAAAGCUCUUUUGUCAGGGAAGAAACGGUAGAGGCUAAUAUCCUUUGCUAAUGACGGUACCUGAAGAAUAAGCACCGGCUAACUACGUG